This 460-nucleotide ribosomal RNA is filed under the name uncultured bacterium. Its description in RNAcentral is "partial 16S ribosomal RNA". It matches the Rfam family "Bacterial small subunit ribosomal RNA", at positions 338 to 795 of the family's 1533-position model. The record is from RNAcentral.
CCUACGGGUGGCAGCAGUGCGGAAUAUUGGUCAAUGGACGAGAGUCUGAACCAGCCAAGUAGCGUGAAGGAUGACUGCCCUAUGGGUUGUAAACUUCUUUUAUAUGGGAAUAAAAUGUUCCACGUGUGGGAUUUUGUAUGUACCAUAUGAAUAAGGAUCGGCUAACUCCGUGCCAGCAGCCGCGGUAAUACGGAGGCUCCGAGCGUUAUCCGGAUUUAUUGGGUUUAAAGGGAGCGUAGGUGGAUUGUUAAGUCAGUUGUGAAAGUUUGCGGCUCAACCGUAAAAUUGCAGUUGAAACUGGCAGUCUUGAGUACAGUAGAGGUGGGCGGAAUUCGUGGUGUAGCGGUGAAAUGCUUAGAUAUCACGAAGAACUCCGAUUGCGAAGGCAGUUCACUGGACUGCAACUGACACUGAGGCUCGAAAGUGUGGGUAUCAAACAGGAUUAGAUACCCUUGUAGUC